RNAcentral lists this small nuclear RNA (39 nucleotides) under Cervus elaphus hippelaphus. It matches the Rfam family "U2 spliceosomal RNA", at positions 1 to 39 of the family's 192-position model. From Rfam's summary of the family: U2 is a small nuclear RNA (snRNA) component of the spliceosome (involved in pre-mRNA splicing). Complementary binding between U2 snRNA (in an area lying towards the 5' end but 3' to hairpin I) and the branchpoint sequence (BPS) of the intron results the bulging out of an unpaired adenosine, on the BPS, which initiates a nucleophilic attack at the intronic 5' splice site, thus starting the first of two transesterification reactions that mediate splicing. Lineage: Eukaryota; Metazoa; Chordata; Mammalia; Artiodactyla; Cervidae. The record is from RNAcentral.
AUUGCUUCUUUGCCUUUUGGCUAAGAUCAAGUGUAGUAU